Molecule: transfer RNA, 71 nt
Filed under: Marmota monax (woodchuck)
Lineage: Eukaryota; Metazoa; Chordata; Mammalia; Rodentia; Sciuridae
Description: tRNA.Ala
Rfam family: tRNA
About the family: Transfer RNA (tRNA) molecules are approximately 80 nucleotides in length. Their secondary structure includes four short double-helical elements and three loops (D, anti-codon, and T loops). Further hydrogen bonds mediate the characteristic L-shaped molecular structure. tRNAs have two regions of fundamental functional importance: the anti-codon, which is responsible for specific mRNA codon recognition, and the 3' end, to which the tRNAs corresponding amino acid is attached (by aminoacyl-tRNA synthetases). tRNAs cope with the degeneracy of the genetic code in two manners: having more than one tRNA (with a specific anti-codon) for a particular amino acid; and 'wobble' base-pairing, i.e. permitting non-standard base-pairing at the 3rd anti-codon position.
Source: RNAcentral
GGGGUUGUGGCUCAGAGGUAGAGCACUCACCUAGCAUGUGAGAGGCACUGGGUUUGAUCCUCAGCACCACA